UAGAGUUUGAUCCUGGCUCAGAGCGAACGCUGGCGGCAGGCUUAACACAUGCAAGUCGAGCGCCGUAGCAAUACGGAGCGGCAGACGGGUGAGUAACGCGUGGGAACGUGCCUUCUGGUUCGGAAUAACCCAGGGAAACUUGGGCUAAUACCGAAUAAGCCCUUCGGGGGAAAGAUUUAUCGCCGGAAGAUCGGCCCGCGUAAGAUUAGCUAGUUGGUGAGGUAAUGGCUCACCAAGGCUACGAUCUUUAGCUGGUCUGAGAGGAUGAUCAGCCACACUGGGACUGAGACACGGCCCAGACUCCUACGGGAGGCAGCAGUGGGGAAUAUUGGACAAUGGGCGCAAGCCUGAUCCAGCCAUGCCGCGUGAGUGAUGAAGGCCUUAGGGUUGUAAAGCUCUUUUAGCGGGGACGAUAAUGACGGUACCCGCAGAAAAAGCCCCGGCCAACUUCGUGCCAGCAGCCCCGGUCAA
This 471-nucleotide ribosomal RNA is filed under the name uncultured bacterium. Its description in RNAcentral is "bacterial SSU rRNA". It matches the Rfam family "Bacterial small subunit ribosomal RNA", at positions 1 to 524 of the family's 1533-position model. The record is from RNAcentral.